CGGCACAGAUAGAGAUAACAAGGUAGAAAAGAAGAGGGGAGAGAGAGCCACAAAGGCCUUAAUAAUGUCCUAGAAAAAGGGGGGUGACAUUGGAAAGUAACACCACCACCCCCUCCAAUCUCCAAUUUCUUUCACUAAAAAUCACUCAAGCCUCUCUCUCUCUCUCUCUCUCUGCUCUCUUUUCUCUCUCUCUCUCUCUUUCUCUCUCUAGCUCAUUCUUGCAACUCACCUAAGUAUUUUAGUGGCCAUUUUCUCCUGGCUAGCUCCCCAAGUAGCCGCCAGCUCAUUCCUUCCCCCGACAUCGACCUCACACCCACCUCCCCUGCCUCCCUCUCUCUCUCCCAAAAUCACAUAUAAUCACACCCCCAUACACCCUCCCAAUCCUCCAUUCAAUUCCUACCCAAUUCUCUCUCCCUCCCUCUCACCGCAUUAGCAUCAUCAAGCCUCCAUCUUGA
Molecule: long non-coding RNA, 455 nt
Filed under: Eucalyptus grandis
Lineage: Eukaryota; Viridiplantae; Streptophyta; Magnoliopsida; Myrtales; Myrtaceae
Description: long non-coding RNA (EGRA_LNC007731)
Source: RNAcentral